This 529-nucleotide ribosomal RNA is filed under the name uncultured bacterium. RNAcentral's name for it is "partial 16S ribosomal RNA". It matches the Rfam family "Bacterial small subunit ribosomal RNA", at positions 355 to 900 of the family's 1533-position model. The record is from RNAcentral.
UGGGGAAUAUUGGACAAUGGGGGCAACCCUGAUCCAGCAAUGCCGCGUGUGUGAAGAAGGUUUUCGGAUUGUAAAGCACUUUCGACGGGGACGAUGAUGACGGUACCCGUAGAAGAAGCCCCGGCUAACUUCGUGCCAGCAGCCGCGGUAAUACGAAGGGGGCUAGCGUUGCUCGGAAUGACUGGGCGUAAAGGGCGUGUAGGCGGUUUGUACAGUCAGAUGUGAAAUCCCCGGGCUUAACCUGGGAGCUGCAUUUGAUACGUGCAGACUAGAGUGUGAGAGAGGGUUGUGGAAUUCCCAGUGUAGAGGUGAAAUCCGUAGAUAUUGGGAAGAACACCGGUGGCGAAGGCGGCAACCUGGCUCAUAACUGACGCUGAGGCGCGAAAGCGUGGGGGAGCAAACAGGAUUAGAUACCCUGGUAGUCCACGCUGUAAACGAUGUGUGCUAGAUGUUGGGUAACUUAGUUAUUCAGUGUCGCAGUUAACGCGUUAAGCACACCGCCUGGGGAGUACGGCCGCAAGGUUGAAAC